Molecule: long non-coding RNA, 235 nt
Filed under: Capsicum annuum
Lineage: Eukaryota; Viridiplantae; Streptophyta; Magnoliopsida; Solanales; Solanaceae
Description: long non-coding RNA (CANN_LNC019338)
Source: RNAcentral
UUCAGAAUACAAAAUUACUUCUUGCCUUCCAAAUUACUCUGUGUGAUCAAUCAAAACGUUCUAUGCAUUCGAAGAUAUUCCAACCAUUUGAGGUACCACUACAGUUGGUCUAUUUAGCCAUUUUAUCCUGCGAGAAAAAAUUUCACAGCCUCGGGUACAGUGAGGGGAAUUAUUUCCUUAAGGAAACUCCAUGAAUUCGUACGUCUUGGCUAUUGUUUGUUUCAUCUUAAUUUCU